RNAcentral lists this ribosomal RNA (253 nucleotides) under uncultured bacterium. RNAcentral's name for it is "partial 16S ribosomal RNA". It matches the Rfam family "Bacterial small subunit ribosomal RNA", at positions 524 to 776 of the family's 1533-position model. The record is from RNAcentral.
UACGGGGGGGGCAAGCGUUGUUCGGAAUUACUGGGCGUAAAGCGUGCGUAGACGGUUAUUUAAGUCGGAUGUGAAAGCCCCGGGCUCAACCUGGGAAUUGCAUUCGAGACUGAAUAGCUAGGGUACGGUAGAGGGAAGUGGAAUUUCCGGUGUAGCGGUGAAAUGCGUAGAUAUCGGGAGGAACACCAAUGGCGAAGGCAGCUCGCUGGGACGUUACUGACGCUGAGACGCGAAAGCGUGGGGAGCAAACAGG